CCUACGGGGGGCAGCAGUGGGGAAUAUUGGACAAUGGGCGAAAGCCUGAUCCAGCCAUGCCGCGUGUGUGAAGAAGGCCUUCGGGUUGUAAAGCACUUUCAGUGGGGAAGAAAGCCUUGGGGCUAAUACCCUCGAGGAAGGACAUCACCCACAGAAGAAGCACCGGCUAACUCCGUGCCAGCAGCCGCGGUAAUACGGAGGGUGCGAGCGUUAAUCGGAAUUACUGGGCGUAAAGCGCGCGUAGGCGGUCUGAUAAGCCGGUUGUGAAAGCCCCGGGCUCAACCUGGGAACGGCAUCCGGAACUGUCAGGCUAGAGUGCAGGAGAGGAAGGUAGAAUUCCCGGUGUAGCGGUGAAAUGCGUAGAGAUCGGGAGGAAUACCAGAGGCGAAGGCGGCCUUCUGGACUGACACUGACGCUGAGGUGCGAAAGCGUGGGUAGCAAACAGGAUUAGAUACCCGGGUAGUC
Molecule: ribosomal RNA, 465 nt
Filed under: Vreelandella stevensii
Lineage: Bacteria; Pseudomonadati; Pseudomonadota; Gammaproteobacteria; Oceanospirillales; Halomonadaceae
Description: partial 16S ribosomal RNA
Rfam family: Bacterial small subunit ribosomal RNA
Source: RNAcentral